CAUUCUAUUUAUUCAAUAGCAAAUCAGUUGAAGGAGUAAAUUAAAAAAUUUUAAACUUCCAGAACUUAGAAGAUUAAUACUUAGACUUAAAUUUACAACUGAGAGUUGGUUUAGUAAGGAGAGAAAUUUAUGUGCCAGCACUAGCGGUAAAACAUAACUCCACGAUAUUCUUUCUUAGAUUUUGUUUUAAUGAUAGUAUACCGAGUAUUUACUGAGUCUAAUUUUAAAUUCUUUAAUUUUUUACCAUGAAAAAUAAGAAGUUAAACUAGGAUUAGAAACCCUAUUAUUCUUAUAACUUUUUUCUAAAGAUUAACUAUGGUUUGUGGCGGCCCCUUUUCAAAUUAGAGAUCCAUGGACCUGAUGGAUAACCCACCCCAAUCUUACUACACUUAGUUCUCUCAUCCUCCAUAUCGCCGACUGAAAAGAAAAGCAUAAAUUUUUAUUUUGUCAGUUUUAAGCUGUUAAGUCAGGUAAAGAUGAAGAUUAUGGUAUUGAAAGUUUGUGGAUCAAAAAUCUUGAUGAAUCAAUUUGUUGAUAUACAAAAUAAAUGAAUUUAAAAGUAAGGUUAUUUUAUUAAAAUAGCUUGAAUAUUGUAAAAAGGAGUGUACAUACCGCCCGUCACUUCCCCCCAAAGGAAUAAGUCGUAACAUGGUUAAUCUACUGGAAGGUGGAAUAA
RNAcentral lists this non-coding RNA (676 nucleotides) under Liposcelis bostrychophila. The record is from RNAcentral. Lineage: Eukaryota; Metazoa; Arthropoda; Insecta; Psocodea; Liposcelididae.